ACCCUAUAAAUAGCUCAAUGUUAGCUAAUGGGAAACUUGUUGUCUUUUAGAAAAAUCAAGUGAUGAGGCUUUAUUUGAUAGUACAGUUGUAGCAAGUUUUGAAGUGUGCCUGAGUGUAUCGGUGCUGUCCUGCUGUGUACUGGAGACAUCCAUUGGAAAAAGACAACCGACAUGUCUCGAACCAUCGUAUUGUUCUUUCUGGCAACGCUCGUGGGUCGGGCCGCAGCCAUGCUCAGCUCACAUGCCCCCUUACAAACGGCAACCCCGGGAAGAACGCGUCUCACAGAUGAUGUCGUAGACGGUAGAUGGUCAGAGCUGUAUUUCCGCACAAUGCCUAAAAUUCAAAUUUAUGGCUAUCGGAGGUUCGCGCCCCAUCUCGGCAAGAUCGCAGCUUGAAUAGCUCGAACAGCUGGUGAAAAGCACUAAUCUCUAUAUGAGCGCAUCUAUGCGAAGCUGAGUUUUUCUAUUGAAGUUCAUCCUCACAACUUCACGAACCUCACUCAGGUUACAUGUCUAUUUUGCGGACAGCUUUCAGAAAAAUAAUUCAACUACGCGCCAUUUUGUACUGUGUGAAUUUUAAUAAAAGCAGACGCCUAAAGAAUCGAAUGGAUCUUGUAAAAAUAAUUGAUUCAAUUUUAUAUCUCGGUUGGCUAAUGGAGAAACAGUAAUAGUAACCUACAUGGACCUCCCCUCAGAGAAGGUGAUCAUAUAGUAUAAUUUUAUUAACUCAUUUAAAUAACUCCGUAAGUAGACGCAGUUAUCGAUAAUUAGUAAAAAAUAAUGUGAACAGACUGUUUAUGAUGGCCAGUCCUCGCGCCAAUACAACAAGCUACAAUCAAACUCAACGAGCUAAAUUAAAUCCCUAAUCAUUAUAUCUUAUCUUGUUUAUCAAAACGAGACAAAUACCUCGAAAGCAGACGAUAUAUUAUUUGUACAACUGUUGAUUCGAGUGUGAACACAUUUGUAGAACCUGUAUUAUGGAAACCAGUUGAAAAUACUAAUAGCCAACAGUUUUUGCAGACGGCUCAAGCUUGACGGCUUGAGCAGAUGUAUUACCGUGCUGUGUGUCAGCAGUAUUUCUAAAACUGUCCGAUAUGUCGACCUUUGCGUCCGUAUGAUGCCUCUUGUUCAAAUUCUUUUGCCACGAAUUUGCCCUACUUCGUUUCUAAUUGACUGACUUUUUUUUCGAAGGAUCUCUACUCGUACAAAUCAAAACGCGGAAUCAUUUAAUCGACAGCACCUAGGUCGUCUCAAGAUAUAUCUCUAAGAGCUCAGGUAAUCGAUGCAAAACCGCGACUAAAGCUGACACACAACGGACCCGUUUCGCAUAAAUCCUAGUGUAGAAUAUUUACAAAUCCAGGUUUUCUUGAUAGACUCAAUAAUUUUCUAAACAUGUGCAAAAUUGGUUAAUUAUAUAUGCAUUUAUUACUUAAUUUAUGUUUACUAGCAGCCAUUCUCUUGAUACACUUACUGGUGGUUCCGGGAGUACGUAUAUUACAAAAUAUUGAUUUGUAUCUAACUGUGCGUCCUGCCAUGAUCCGACUCGCUUAAAUUUGACGUUCAAUAGUAAAAUGAAAUGAAAAUAUUUAUUAUUAUCUAUAUUAUAAGCAUAUCUUGAUGCAAUGCGUCCAUGCAACGCUAGAAAAAAGGACGCUUGCAGCGCAGAUCUAUCUGAAACAGAAGAACUGUAUAACAUUCAAAUCGGUCGCAUCGACUGCAAUGUACUCUAAUAAAUAUUGCUUUUCUCACAUUGUACGCAUUUUCGUUGUAUGGGUGACGAUGAUAUUGAUUACUUGCAAGCAUGAAUUGUUUUUGUGUUUAUGACCUUUAGUUAACUUAUAGACCUGCACCUUUAUUAUUGUUGUUGACUAGUUCGAUGUAAACAUUAAGUGCGCGCUUGUAUGUAAGCUAUGUCUUCUAUGCAGAUUCGAACCCA
Molecule: long non-coding RNA, 1936 nt
Organism: Varroa destructor (honeybee mite)
Lineage: Eukaryota; Metazoa; Arthropoda; Arachnida; Mesostigmata; Varroidae
Source: RefSeq, a predicted model, not a curated record